This 253-nucleotide ribosomal RNA is filed under the name uncultured bacterium. RNAcentral's name for it is "partial 16S ribosomal RNA". It matches the Rfam family "Bacterial small subunit ribosomal RNA", at positions 524 to 776 of the family's 1533-position model. The record is from RNAcentral.
UACGUAGGGUGCGAGCGUUAAUCGGAAUUACUGGGCGUAAAGCGUGCGCAGGCGGUUUUGUAAGCCAGAUGUGAAAGCCCCGGGCUUAACCUGGGAAUGGCAUUUGGGACUGCAAGGCUUGAGUGCGGCAGAGGAGACUGGAAUUCCCGGUGUAGCAGUGAAAUGCGUAGAUAUCGGGAGGAAUACCGAUGGCGAAGGCAGGUCUCUGGGCUGACACUGACGCUCAUGCACGAAAGCGUGGGGAGCAAAAGGG